Solanum dulcamara is the source of this 5318-nucleotide RNA transcript. RefSeq lists it as uncharacterized. NCBI's taxonomy places the organism in Eukaryota, Viridiplantae, Streptophyta, Magnoliopsida, Solanales, Solanaceae. The transcript is spliced from 7 exons. The record is from RefSeq and is a predicted model, not a curated record.
AAUUCCAGCAGCUUCCAUUCCGAUCAAAGAAGGCUGGUAAAGGACUUCAGGGCAUCGGAAACGCUCAGCACCAAUAGUAAUCACUUGUCCAUCGGGCAGUUCAUAGUUCUUCUCGACAGAGGAGCCUGUCUCGAGUUCCGAGCAAGUCAUGUCGUCGUCGCCGUCGCUGCCGCCGCCACAAUCACCGUUGCCAUCUGAUUAUGGAGGAUCCUCAAGCGAAUCGGAUUGUCCGCCGUCGUUGAAGAAACAAAAGGUGGAUGAGGAAGAUGGAGAAUCCAGCGAUUACGAAAGUCUGGAUCCUUUAUCCCCUCUUUCAGAUGAAAGCUGUCCCAACUGGGAUAUCGAAGAAGCAAAUGAAGAUUUAUAUUGCCCUAUCGAUCCCAAUGAUAAAAAGGUGGAUAAAGCUGUUUGGGAUAGGUACUUCCAACAGAUCCGUGAGAGUGAGGGAUUUGACAUUAAAGAUUAUCCCGGUUCGUGUCCACUGACUACCAUAUUCCCCAUGGUAAACUACUUAAAAGCUCCUGCUCGUGUCGAAAAUGAAAUGUUGAAGGGUUAUGCUGCAAAGGCACUUGAGCAGUACAAUAACAAAAAUGGCACUAAAUAUGAGGUCGACCAUAUUCUCAAGGUUAAUGUAUGUCCCGGUCGAUACUACAUAUUCUAUAUUACCCUUUCGGUCAAGAAUGGCGAGGCGGGAUAUUUUCAAGCUAAGGUGGUGCGGGAUAUAGAUCAAUCUUUGGAUUUUCCAGUCGUUAGGCCAAGGGUGAAGGGAGGUUUGGACAUAUAGUGAUGUGAAGUCUGCGCAUCCUUUUGGCUUUGUGUUGACUUUUUUUGAUUUUGGACAACAUUAAUAUUUGGCUUCUAUGUACCCCACAACCAUGACGUGAGAAAGUGGAGAACGAAUUCCUGCAGGUACACAAGUCGGAUCUCUUCCUCAUUUGUGAAUCCAAGCAAGUCAGAAGACGAGCGUAGCAUGUGUACAAUUUCUAUUUUCAAACUAGACCACAUGUCAUGCUUUUUAGUCGAUGUAGCCCUGAAUCAUAAUUAACACCCGAAAAGAUCAAGAAACGAAUUAAGGAAAAGCUACCAAAACCAACGACGAAGCAACUAAUCAUACGAAAUAGUACGUACAGCCCAAGAGGAGUGGUGAUCAUGGGAUCAAAAACAUUGUUGUCCGAGGUUCGAAUCUCAACAACAUUACGCUUGCUGAGCCACUAAGGGAACCGAGGAGGCUCAUUUGUUCGAGAAGUGUCAUUUCUCAACGUCUUCCAAUAGGCAUGAACCACCGUAGGUUAGCUUUUCUAUAAGUUGAAUUUGCAGUUCUCUUUUAUAUCAAAUAUUUUUAUACCAUUUUCCUUAUUUAUAGUUUUCUCGAUUUUUCAUUUGUUUAUCGAAUUAAGGUCAUUAAAGAUUCUGAGGUAUGAUUAGAUUAUUAUCACGCACUUGCAUCAAAGCUUCAAACUGAAAAUCGAGGUUUUGACUUUUGAGUCAUGCUGGGAGGUAAUUAUGAACCAUUGUUUCUGCCUGAAGCCCACAACCAAAACAACUGAGAGGUAGAGGUUUUUUGCCACUAAAUCCAAUCAACAAACUACUGAGAGGUAGAGGUCUUUUGCCACUAAAUCCAAUCAAUCUUAGUUUCUUUUAAUCACUUUAAAAGUGAGGGCAGGGGCAGAGAUAAUUUUUUUUGAUUAAGUUCGGGUCAAUGAUUCGAGACUUUAUCAUAGACCUCAAUUCACUACUAAAAAUAGUCAAAAAAACGUCAGAAAAAACAGCGACGGAUUGCGUCGCUAAAAAAAACAACGGAAUUUGAGACGCUGUCCGUCGCCUUUUUUUUAAUUUUAUUAUUUUUUAAUUUUUUUAAUAAAAAGCAACGGACAGUGACUAUUUGUCCGUCGCAUUUUUUGAUGGAUUUUCGUGCCAUAUAUAAAUAUAUUUAAAAAUUAAUUAUAAAAUAAAAAUAAUGACGAAGUACGUCGCUUUUAAUUAAAAAUAAUUUAAUAUUAUUUAAAAAUUGUGUCUCCGUCCGUCGUUUUUUAUUAUAUUUUAUUUAUUAAUUUUUUUAAAAUAAGCGACGGACAACGUCUCCCAGUCUGUCGCUUUUUUGGUCAAAAUGACGGUCAACUACUAAAAAAAAGGACAGACAGGGCGACACUGUUUUUCGCUCUUUCUGAAAUAUUUGAAUCCAGUCCCAAAUUUUUCUGUUUUUCUCUGAUAUCUCUCUCUCUAAAACCCUCCCCCUUCUCUCUAAAAAUUUCAACCCCCGCCCCCUUCGCCGCCAUUCACCGCCGCCAUUUCCUCCCCCGUCGCCGUUAUUGCAGCGGCCACUUCCCUCCGUCAGCCUUCUCUCUCCAUAUUGUUAAUUUUAUUUUUUUUUAGUCGAAAUUUUCCUCAUUAUAUAAAGCAGAAAGAAAGAACAAGUACAAGGAGGGGGACAUGAAAAGCCUUACCUCCAAAAAUAAGAUGGAUGAGAAGCCGGCUUUAAGGUCGGCAUACUUAUCCGUGAUACAAAGGUGCUAUCUAUGUACUAGAAAAGCGGUAAAUCUAUGAGAGGACUCCUCUCGGUACAAUGCAACUAAGAAGAGAAAGAAUAACUGAGGGAGGAUCGAUUUUCCCUAAAUCCAAGAUCAGCCUCACAAUUCCAACACAAGGCUCAAGGUCAGUACAACUAAACCAGGAGACACACAACGGUGACCAAAAUUGAAAACUAGUUUCAUUUUUGAUAGCCAUUGAGUGCGGCUACAAGCAUUGGGUGUUGUGUUGCUGGUCUGGAUUUUUGUUGAUUGCAUCAUGCAUAUGUAUGAAGGGUUGUUGCAUCUCUGUGGAUGGAUAUGGUAUGUUGGAGUUUGCACAGUUGGAAAGGCUUAUCUCCUUCCAAGUUGUUGUGACUGUCUUCUCCACAGCUGUAUGUUGGUCUGUGAAACUGCUGCUAUAAUGAAUCCUAUGGAAGUGAUGUUGCAACUCCAACACUAGGUUCCAUUUUGCAGGAUACCUGCACAAAGAGACAGACAGCAGGAACCUAAGAAUUCUUGAUGGCUGCUGGAUGGAUUUCCUGGUGUUGGAUGCUAUGUUGCAGGAGCUUCCAAAUCUGAUAUAUGUUGAGAGAUUGUUGUUUUUGUUGUGUAGAGUGUUGGAAAUUGUUGUUGUUGUUGUGUGAUGGAAUUUGUAUGUUGAAUCUGCAUGUUUUUGAGGGCUGCUGACUGCUUCUGGCAUCUGCUGCUGCUGUUGAGCUGCUGCUGCCACUCCAUUCACAAGGGAGGUUUGGGUAGCUAUAAGGAUGAAAAAGGCCUCCACUUGCUGCUGCAACAGUGCUGCACAGCAGAAACAAUGGAAGGUGAAAGCAGCUGCAGUGUGCAUGUUCUUCCUUCCAGGUUGCAAGUUGUGCUGUAUGUUGAGGUGUUUUGGAGUUGUAAGUUGCUUGUUGAUGAGUACUGUUGACUGUUGCUGUGAUUGUGUGUUGCUUCUGACAACUGCUGCUGCAGUAGAGUUUGCUGCUUCUGUUGUACUGAAGAAUCUUUGCUGCAGAUGUUGUUGGUGUAGUUGUUGGUCCACAUUGGAGGAGCUUCAAGGUCUAAUGCUGCAAUUCCACUACAAGACUCCAAGUUGUUGUACUCCAGCAUCCCAGAUAUCCCAUGUUGUUGCUGAGGUUCUGUAUCCAUCACAGCUAUCUUGUUGGUUUCUUGAUUAUGUGUUUGUAGUGCACGAGGUCCAAGAGUAACUUCAACGUCAGUGUUGCAGCUCCUCAGUGUACCUGCACAAGCAAAUAAACAAACAAGGGCCUCCAAUAGUGCUGUAACUUGCAGUGAAUCCAGCCUGUUGCCUCUCUGUAUUGUAGUUGCUGCUGACAAGGUAACAAACCAAGCAGCCCAUUGUUGAAUCCAGAGUUGUAUUGCUGUGCCUCUUUGAAUGGAGUUCCUGUCAACUGUUGCUACUCCUGUUGUUGCUGCUGUAGCCCAUCUGUUGCAAGUAUGUCUGCACAAGUAAAAGAACAAGAGGAAAAGUACCUCCAAGACUUCUACACAGCAGAAACUGUGCUGUAGUUCUGAAGGUCCAUUGUGGACUUGUAGUUUCUCCUUGUGUGCUGCAUGUUGCUGGAGUUGUUGAGUGUUGUGGCUUGUAAGCAUGUCCCCAACUUUUACGUGCUUUAAUGUAUCUCCAGCCACCUGCAAAUGCAUAGAAACAAGCCAACAAGACCAAAAACAACUAGACACAAACCUUAAGUCGGCUAACUUUUUCAAGGUCGCUCGACUAACGUCUCCAAUUAUCCGUUUGAGCUGAAACUUCUUGGGCUUUGCAAUUACUAUAUUUUCUGUAGUCCUACAACAUUUGGAGGCCUGGAAACUCCAAAUUGCAAAUUGCUCCCUCAUUAGGCUUAAGUCGGCUAACUUUUUCAAGGUCGCUCGACUAACGUCUCCAAUUAUCCGUUUUAGUUGAAACUUAUUGGACUCUUCAAAUACAAUAUUUGCUGUAAUCCUGCAACUUUUGGAGGCCUUUUUCACAAUCUGGAAGCUCCAAUUUGUGAAAUGCUCCAUCUUGAGACUUAAGUCGGCUAACUUUUUCAAGGUCGCUCGACUAACGUCUCCAAUUAUCCUUUUGAGCUGAAACUUCUUGGGCUCUGCAGGAGUUAUAUUUGCUGCAAUCUUGCACAAUUUGGAGUCAUUUUGGUGUAGCAUGGUGUAUUUGUUGAAGGUUGCUGGUUGCUUCUGGUCUCUGUUGCUGUUGCUGAUUGGCUAUUGCUGUUGAUCAGUUGCAGUCACUGUUGCUGCUGUAUUGUGGUAUAUGCAAGUGAUGUUGUUGAGAUGCUGGUGCAGGAACUCCAAACUCAGCUGCUGCAACUCCAAUCCAAGGCUCAAAGUAUUAUGAUACCUGCACAAAGAGGCACCCAACAGGAAACAAAAUUGGAACUUAAGCUUCAUUUUUUAUGGCUGUUGAGUGUGGAUCCAUGUGUUGGAUGUUGGGUUGCUGGUCUGGAUUGGUGUUGCUGUAUGCUCCUGUGUGUUGUGGUAGUUGGAAGUUCUUGUUCUUUGAGGGUGCAGCUGUGUAAAGUACCUGCACCAGGCAAACAAACAAGAAGACACCACUACUCUAGCUCUUACUUCUAGAUGUAUGUUAGUAGUGCUACUGAAGCAGUAAACAAGGGAGACUCUCCAUAUUGUUAAUAAGGUUAGUUAGUUAGGGUUUUAAUUUAGAAAAAAAUAAUUUGUUGAUUUGUUAGUUAAUUUAUUUCAUUUAAUUUGUUUAAUUUAUGUUAUUAACAUAGUUAAUUUGUAUAUGUGAUUUUGAAUUGGUGAAUGUUAGAAAUUAGAUUUUAGGUCUUUUCUUUG